Molecule: ribosomal RNA, 648 nt
Filed under: uncultured organism
Description: bacterial SSU rRNA
Rfam family: Bacterial small subunit ribosomal RNA
Source: RNAcentral
UUUAUCNUGGCUCAGAAUGAACGCUGGCGGCGUGCUUAAUACAUGCAAGUCGAGCGAGAAAGGGAUUGUUUGGGUGCGUAGAUUAGAGUGGCGCGGGGUGUGUAUCACGUAUAUAUCAUAUGUCUACAUGUGGGAGGUAUUCCGCCCGCGCGGUUCUAUUACGCGGUAUGAUCCGUAUGCGCGCUGGUAUUGUCAUUAAAGGUGGCCUCUUCUUGAAAGCUAUCGCUUGGAGAUGAGUCUGCGGACCAUUAGCUAGUUGGUGGGGUAACGGCCCACCAAGGCUACGAUGGAUAGCCGGUCUGAGAGGGUGAUCAGCCACAUUGGGACUGAAAUACGGUCCAGACUCCUACGGGAGGCAGCAGUAAGGAAUUUUGCGCAAUGGAGGCAAGUCUGACGCAGCAACGCCGCGUGAGUGAUGACGGCCUUCGGGUCGUAAAGCUCUGUCGACUGGGAAGAAAUUGUCUGAUGUUAAUAUCGUCAGGGUCUGACGGUACCACUCGAGGAAGCUCCGGCUAACUACGUGCCAGCAGCCGCGGUAAUACGUAGGGCGCUAGCGUUAUUCGGAAUCACUGGGCGUACAGGGCGCGCAGGCGGACCUGUCAGUCAGGAGUUAAAUGUCCGGGCUCAACCCUUGAUCUGCUUUUGAUA